GGGCAUUUUGGCAGAACCAAAACUGCCUAAGUGAAGCGAUUCACCAAGAAGUAUGUGUGGUUUGCAUACGAUGAAAUAUGGAACCGGCAUACAAACUGGUACCGCCCAGUAUAAAAAGGGGUAUGUCACCAUUAAGCGGUGUAGGAAAAUCAUGUGCCUACGAAAAAAACUAAUGUUAAUGGCAUAUCUCAUCUGCGAUGAAUUUCAGGUAAACAACUUUGGAAGAGGGACAUUCGUGAAACCACCACGAAUGUUCUUU
This 259-nucleotide small RNA is filed under the name uncultured Eisenbergiella sp. RNAcentral describes it as "FuFi-1 RNA". It matches the Rfam family "FuFi-1 RNA". Lineage: Bacteria; Bacillati; Bacillota; Clostridia; Lachnospirales; Lachnospiraceae. The record is from RNAcentral.